UGGGGAAUAUUGCACAAUGGGCGCAAGCCUGAUGCAGCCAUGCCGCGUGUAUGAAGAAGGCCUUCGGGUUGUAAAGUACUUUCAGUCGGGAGGAAGGUGGUAAGGUUAAUAACCUUAUCAAUUGACGUUACCCGCAGAAGAAGCACCGGCUAACUCCGUGCCAGCAGCCGCGGUAAUACGGAGGGUGCAAGCGUUAAUCGGAAUUACUGGGCGUAAAGCGCACGCAGGCGGUUGAUUGAGUCAGAUGUGAAAUCCCCGGGCUUAACCCGGGAAUUGCAUCUGAUACUGGUCAGCUAGAGUCUUGUAGAGGGGGGUAGAAUUCCAUGUGUAGCGGUGAAAUGCGUAGAGAUGUGGAGGAAUACCGGUGGCGAAGGCGGCCCCCUGGACAAAGACUGACGCUCAGGUGCGAAAGCGUGGGGAGCAAACAGG
RNAcentral lists this ribosomal RNA (429 nucleotides) under Chloroflexota bacterium. RNAcentral describes it as "Chloroflexi bacterium partial 16S ribosomal RNA". It matches the Rfam family "Bacterial small subunit ribosomal RNA", at positions 355 to 776 of the family's 1533-position model. The record is from RNAcentral. Lineage: Bacteria; Bacillati; Chloroflexota.